GAUCCUGGCUCAGAAUCAACGCUGGCGGCGUGCCUAACACAUGCAAGUCGAACGAGAAAGUGGAGCAAUCCAUGAGUACAGUGGCGACCGGGUGAGUAACACGUGACUAACCUACCCUCGAGUGGGGAAUAACCUCGGGAAACCGGGGCUAAUACCGCAUAAUGUCUUCGGACCAAAGGAGCAAUUCGCUUGAGGAGGGGGUCGCGGCCGAUUAGCUAGUUGGCGGGGUAACGGCCCACCAAGGCCAUGAUCGGUAGCCGGCCUGAGAGGGCGCACGGCCACACUGGAACUGAAACACGGUCCAGACUCCUACGGGAGGCA
Molecule: ribosomal RNA, 321 nt
Filed under: uncultured Acidobacteriota bacterium
Lineage: Bacteria; Pseudomonadati; Acidobacteriota
Description: bacterial SSU rRNA
Rfam family: Bacterial small subunit ribosomal RNA
Source: RNAcentral